RNAcentral lists this unclassified non-coding RNA (209 nucleotides) under uncultured Trechispora. Its description in RNAcentral is "sequence contains ITS2". The record is from RNAcentral. Lineage: Eukaryota; Fungi; Basidiomycota; Agaricomycetes; Polyporales; Polyporaceae.
AGUCAUCAACCCCUCCGUUUCGUGCGGACCGGGUUGGAUUGGGGGCUCUGCUGCCGUGAGGCGGCUCCCCUCAAAUGCAUCGGUUGGGCCUGUGGGUCGAACUCGACUGGGCGUUGUACCAUCCUCGCUCGACAGAGACGUUCCCCUCUCGUGCCCUUCCCCGACCUGCCCCCUAAGAGUGGCGGUCACAAGCAAAAAAGCUUUGAAAU